GAGGUGGAAGGUGAGUGUCAAAGCAACAGAGAUCUAGGGAAGGAGAGAGAGAGAACGAUGAAAGAAAUGAGAGAGGGUGACCGUUGACGGCCAUUUUCUCCGGCCGACCGUCUUAGUACUCCGACGAGUAGCUUUAGGCUCGAGUAUCACACUCGAUUAUCCACAGACAAACCCCUUCUCGAUGAAUUCUCACGGUGGCGGCAGCUCUAGGGUUCCGGCUAUUAAACCCGGCGGCGACCACAACCGACGGUCCACAGAUGCGCCGUUGGACUAAGUUCCUGGGUUCUGGCCGCCAGUCAAUUUUUGGGUGAAGUCUCAGGCAUGUGUCGUUUUCUUGCAGAUUGGUAACUGCCAAGACACCUUCAGUAAGAAUUUGGCUAUACUUGAGUGAAGAUGUAAUUGCAGGCAAGUGUGAUCGAAGCAUCAUUAGAAGCUAAUCUGGGGAACUGACUUGGAUGUCAAGUGGUAAGGUAACUUUAUUUAGUAUGUCUUAAUUAUACUUGGUAUUAAACAUGCAAGCCUAUGUGCGGUUUGUUUAUUUGGCACUAUGUUAUUGGGUUUUUUUUUUUUUUUUUUUUGUGUCCUUAUUUGUUACCUUACUUUGUUGUUAGAUUGAUGGUUUAAAAAAAGCCGUUGGGGCGCAUGCCUCGAGGUGAUGAUCCCUAUUGUAAAAGUCCCGCUUAGGCUCCGAGUACUCCCCGAGUACUCGCUACAAGGCAGGAUGCCGAGGCACAAGUACUCUUCUCCCAGGCCAAUUACUCCCCGAGUAAUCUCCGCCUAAGCCGAGUACUCCCGAAUCUGACUAGGGAGCGCCUAGCGACUUUUACAACCAUGCCUAUUCGUUAUCUUACUUUAUGUCUAUGAAUGGUAUGUGAAUGCCUAAUUUCAUGAUUAACAAAUGGGUUCGUGAAUGAAUCAAGCAUUAAUUAGUUGCAGCAAGAUUUCGAUAGCUUGAAAAUAAAACAAAAGUUUCGCGUGUCGCAUCCUCUAGAAAACGAUGUGUCGCGCCUCUGGUCUCUUCGAAUGUAAGAGGUUUGCUGACAUACGACAACCAAAAGUAAUCAUCGGCGACAGUUGAUCCUUCAAUCGCCCCCGCGCUAGCAGAGGUUGCUUCUGAUUUUUUAUCCCGGUACUAUCAACUCUCGCGGGUCACAGCUGCCCAGUGUUUUCGGUUGGAUUUCAGGUUUACAUAUAGGUUCACCGAUGGAUCCAUUAGUUCUUCAGUCUGGUUCGCGCAAUGAUUCUUCACGAAUUAAUAGAGGAUAGGAUGGGUCAGCGGAAAUGGUAAAGCUUCUCUGAGCGAGGGUAUUGAAUAGAACAAGGCGGACUGUGGCGAUGUCGUUACGAUUAACGUACGGUGCUCAGACUUCACCAAUUUUUCCGGUCAGCCGAGCCUUGAAGAUGCAAACACCGAAUUCCUUUUACUCAUUGGACUAGCACUCGAUUGCGCCUCUUUUCAACUUACGCACAUCCUGUUUACAUGCUUUUGUUGGGGUUUUUUUGGCGCAUGCAAGUUACUUUAUACACGUUAUAAUGAUAAUGGUAAACCAAUUUGAGUUCAGACCAUCUCAACAAUAGAGGAAUUACAUUGGUAUUGCAUAUUAUUAUUAAUCUCUAAAUGUUACCACAGUUACGACAUUUACGCUAACCCCAACUGAGGUAAUAAAUUUUGUCAUUGUUUUAAGCAUUAUGUUCUUUACAAUGUUUUGUAUGUAGGCCAAACUGUGCAACCAAACUGUAGACAAAUCAUGAGUAACGAUAAGAUCAACCAGCAACUAUUUCAAACUACCUGUGACGACUUACCCUCAUUUAUUUGAUUCCGUAACAUAUGAAAGGCUAAAUUAUUUUCACACAUCACCUGCAUGAUAUUUUUCAGCUGGUUUAGUUAGAGUUGGUGAAGUGGCAACUUAGGUAGUUGGUUAAAACAAUUUAGGUAGAAACCCUUGCCCAUCAAAUCCGUAGCCGAAUGAUAAUUAGGCUUCCAAGUCUUUUAUCAGGGUAUGAUUGAUUAUUGGAAACAAUUUUCUAGAAAGCACACUGCAAAGGUAUUCAUAUUUUUGGGUAUGUAAUUCACUUGAUACUUCAAAAGAAAGAACAAAUAACUGUAUUCACUUGA
Helianthus annuus (common sunflower) is the source of this 2116-nucleotide long non-coding RNA. RefSeq lists it as uncharacterized. NCBI's taxonomy places the organism in Eukaryota, Viridiplantae, Streptophyta, Magnoliopsida, Asterales, Asteraceae. The record is from RefSeq and is a predicted model, not a curated record. The transcript has 5 exons.